RNAcentral lists this transfer RNA (73 nucleotides) under Candidatus Poribacteria bacterium. Its description in RNAcentral is "tRNA-Ala". It matches the Rfam family "tRNA". From Rfam's summary of the family: Transfer RNA (tRNA) molecules are approximately 80 nucleotides in length. Their secondary structure includes four short double-helical elements and three loops (D, anti-codon, and T loops). The record is from RNAcentral. Lineage: Bacteria; Candidatus Poribacteria.
GGGGGUGUAGCUCAGUUGGGAGAGUGUCUGUUUUGCAAGCAGAAGGUCAGCGGUUCGAUACCGCUCAUCUCCA